UGGUGGAGUGAUUUGUCUGCUUAAUUGCGAUAACGAACGAGACCUUAACUGUUAAAUAGCCCGUAUCGCUUUGGCGGUACGCUGGCUUCUUAGCAGGACUAUCGGCUCAAGCCGAUGGAAGUUUGAGGCAAUAGCA
This 136-nucleotide ribosomal RNA is filed under the name uncultured eukaryote. RNAcentral's name for it is "partial 18S ribosomal RNA". It matches the Rfam family "Eukaryotic small subunit ribosomal RNA", at positions 1299 to 1458 of the family's 1831-position model. The record is from RNAcentral.